RNAcentral lists this ribosomal RNA (468 nucleotides) under uncultured bacterium. Its description in RNAcentral is "partial 16S ribosomal RNA". It matches the Rfam family "Bacterial small subunit ribosomal RNA", at positions 28 to 507 of the family's 1533-position model. The record is from RNAcentral.
GACGAACGCUGGCGGCGUGCUUAACACAUGCAAGUCGAACGGAAAGGCCCUGCUUUUGUGGGGUGCUCGAGUGGCGAACGGGUGAGUAACACGUGAGUAACCUGCCCUUGACUUUGGGAUAACUUCAGGAAACUGGGGCUAAUACCGGAUAGGAGCUCCUGCUGCAUGGUGGGGGUUGGAAAGUUUCGGCGGUUGGGGAUGGACUCGCGGCUUAUCAGCUUGUUGGUGGGGUAGUGGCUUACCAAGGCUUUGACGGGUAGCCGGCCUGAGAGGGUGACCGGCCACAUUGGGACUGAGAUACGGCCCAGACUCCUACGGGAGGCAGCAGUGGGGAAUAUUGCACAAUGGGCGGAAGCCUGAUGCAGCAACGCCGCGCGCGGGAUGACGGCCUUCGGGUUGUAAACCGCUUUCGCCUGUGAGGAAGCGUGAGUGACGGUAAUGGGUAAAGAAGCACCGGCUAACUACGUG